This is a long non-coding RNA of Rattus norvegicus (Norway rat), 976 nucleotides long. RefSeq lists it as uncharacterized. The record is from RefSeq and is a predicted model, not a curated record. NCBI's taxonomy places the organism in Eukaryota, Metazoa, Chordata, Mammalia, Rodentia, Muridae.
GGAGCCUACCUCGGAGGGCAGGGGAUGUUAUGUGUUAUGGAGAACAGUGCUGCAGGCGUGGUUGAAAGUCUCCAGAGCAGAAAGAGGAAGGCACUUGAUGUUCUGAUCGCUUCGAACUGCUAAUUAGGCUCAUGCAUGCUACAAACGCUGGCAGCUCUUGUGUCCUGGGGUAACAGGGACAAGCCUGGCAAAGAGGCUCAGAAACACGGCCAACCCAUCCAUAAGCCCACGUGCUGUGCCUAUAAAGAGAUGCUUCAACGGAGUACACUGGCGAACCAGCUACCAAGCACGUUUGAAUGCUCUGAGAUUCCGAGUAGAAAUAUAAUGUCCAGGUGGGCAUCAAAGUCUCCUUGAAACAGCUCGGGAAAUUCUACAUUUACCGCCGGCAGUCAGUGGGGCGGGAAAUCGUGCACUCGGGAAUGGAAUACACUAUGCUUCUGGUUCGUGAAUGUGCCCACUGAGAGCUGCAGCAGCGAGUCAGCUGACAUUUCAGAGCUUCUAUGUCUUCCUUUGCAAAGUGGAAACUACCCAGUUGGCACAGUCAAGUACUCUGGCUCAGCAGAAGACUGACAAAAAAGUGGCCCUCACUCUGUGACAAUGUGUUUUAGAAAGGAAUGAAGACACUGUUUGGAAUGGAGACGCCAUUUGAAGCAGCCCUGUCCCCGAGAGGUCUACAACACCUUGCUCUUAGGAAUCCAAGUGGAAACAGGACCGUGUCCAAAUUUCUUCUUACAAUAUUGAUUUUUUUUUAAAGAACCUUAUCUCUCAAAGUCAUAUGUUUUGAAACAGUAUAGCUCUGCUGGCUUUGAACUCACUAUGUAGCUAAGGGAGGCUGAGGAUCCUGGUCCUCCAAGUGCUGGGAUUGUAGGAAUGAGCCAUCAUGCCGAGCAACACAUUUGCCCUGAGGCUUUCUGGAGACCUACCUCCUCCCUAGUUCUAAUAAAGGCAAGCGUCUUAUAGGUGGACUUAUGUUUGC